This 419-nucleotide ribosomal RNA is filed under the name uncultured bacterium. Its description in RNAcentral is "bacterial SSU rRNA". It matches the Rfam family "Bacterial small subunit ribosomal RNA", at positions 356 to 774 of the family's 1533-position model. The record is from RNAcentral.
AAGGAAUAUUGCUCAAUGGGAGAAAUCCUGAAGCAGCAACGCCGCGUGGAGGAUGAAGGGUCUAUGACUUGUAAACUCCUGUAAAGAAGGAAAAAAUUCCCAUUAGAUGGGAGAUGAUGGUACUUCUGGAGUAAGCCCCGGCUAACUACGUGCCAGCAGCCGCGGUAAUACGUAGGGGGCAAGCGUUGUCCGGAUUUACUGGGUGUAAAGGGUGCUCAGGCGGAUUUGUAAGUCAGAGGUGAAAUCUUACAGCUUAACUGUUAAACUGCCUUUGAUACUGCAAGCCUAGAGCAUGGAAGAGAGUGAUGGAAUAUCUGGUGUAGCAGUGAAAUGCGUAGAUAUCAGAUAGAACACCAAUGGCGAAGGCAGUCACUUGGUCCAUUACUGACGCUAAAGCACGAAAGCGUGGGUAGCAAACA